This 1279-nucleotide ribosomal RNA is filed under the name Candidatus Phytoplasma fraxini. RNAcentral's name for it is "bacterial SSU rRNA". It matches the Rfam family "Bacterial small subunit ribosomal RNA", at positions 127 to 1403 of the family's 1533-position model. The record is from RNAcentral. Lineage: Bacteria; Bacillati; Mycoplasmatota; Mollicutes; Acholeplasmatales; Acholeplasmataceae.
UACCUUUAAGACGAGGAUAACAACCGGAAACAGUUGCUAAGACUGGAUAGGAAAUAAAAAGGCAUCUUUUUAUUUUUAAAAGACCUUUUUCGGAAGGUAUGCUUAAAGAUGAGCUUGCGCCACAUUAGUUUGUUGGUGGGGUAAUGGCCUACCAAGACGAUGAUGUGUAGCUGGACUGAGAGGUCGAACAGCCACAUUGGGACUGAGACACGGCCCAAACUCCUACGGGAGGCAGCAGUAGGGAAUUUUCGGCAAUGGAGGAAACUCUGACCGAGCAACGCCGCGUGAACGAUGAAGUAUUUCGGUAUGUAAAGUUCUUUUAUUGAAGAAGAAAAAAUAGUGGAAAAACUAUCUUGACGUUAUUCAAUGAAUAAGCCCCGGCUAACUAUGUGCCAGCAGCCGCGGUAAGACAUAGGGGGCGAGCGUUAUCCGGAAUUAUUGGGCGUAAAGGGUGCGUAGGCGGUUAGGAAAGUCUAUAAUUUAAUUUCAGUGCUUAACGCUGUCUUGUUAUAGAAACUACCUUGACUAGAGUUAGAUAGAGGCAAGCGGAAUUCCAUGUGUAGCGGUAAAAUGUGUAAAUAUAUGGAGGAACACCAGAAGCGUAGGCGGCUUGCUGGGUCUUGACUGACGCUGAGGCACGAAAGCGUGGGUAGCAAACAGGAUUAGAUACCCUGGUAGUCCACGCCGUAAACGAUGAGUACUAAGUGUCGGGAUAAAACUCGGUACUGAAGUUAACACAUUAAGUACUCCGCCUGAGUAGUACGUACGCAAGUAUGAAACUUAAAGGAAUUGACGGGACUCCGCACAAGCGGUGGAUCAUGUUGUUUAAUUCGAAGAUACACGAAAAAUCUUACCAGGUCUUGACAUGCUCUGCAAAGCUAUAGAAAUAUAGUGGAGGUUAUCAGGGACACAGGUGGUGCAUGGUUGUCGUCAGUUCGUGUCGUGAGAUGUUAGGUUAAGUCCUAAAACGAGCGCAACCCUUGUCGUUAGUUACCAGCACGUAAUGGUGGGCACUUUAACGAGACUGCCAAUUAAACAUUGGAGGAAGGUGAGGAUUACGUCAAAUCAUCAUGCCCCUUAUGAUCUGGGCUACAAACGUGAUACAAUGGCUGUUACAAAGAGUAGCUGAAGCGCGAGUUUUUAGCCAAUCUCAAAAAAGCAGUCUCAGUUCGGAUUGAAGUCUGUAACUCGACUUCAUGAAGUGGAAUCGCUAGUAAUCGCGAAUCAGCAUGUCGCGGUGAAUACGUUCUCGGGGUUUGUACACACCACCCGUCAAACC